This 372-nucleotide ribosomal RNA is filed under the name uncultured organism. Its description in RNAcentral is "bacterial SSU rRNA". It matches the Rfam family "Bacterial small subunit ribosomal RNA", at positions 526 to 896 of the family's 1533-position model. The record is from RNAcentral.
CAGAGGUGGCAAGCGUUGUUCGGAAUUACUGGGCGUAAAGGGCGCGUAGGCGGCCUUGUAAGUCCUGUGUGAAAUCCCCCGGCUCAACUGGGGAACUGCACAGGAGACUGCUUGGCUUGAGUUCGGGAGAGGGAAGCGGAAUUCCGGGUGUAGCGGUGAAAUGCGUAGAUAUCCGGAGGAACACCGGUGGCGAAGGCGGCUUCCUGGACCGACACUGACGCUGAGGCGCGAAAGCCAGGGGAGCAAACGGGAUUAGAUACCCCGGUAGUCCUGGCUGUAAACGAUGAGCGCUGGGUGUAGGGGGUAUUGACCCCCCCUGUGCCGAAGCUAACGCAUUAAGCGCUCCGCCUGGGGAGUACGGUCGCAAGGCUG